This is a non-coding RNA of Pelobates cultripes (western spadefoot toad), 562 nucleotides long. Lineage: Eukaryota; Metazoa; Chordata; Amphibia; Anura; Pelobatidae. The record is from the annotation of a GenBank genome assembly.
GCCAGAUAUCAGGCUCUCCUUCGAGAAGCCUGUGGAGCGACUACCACCCAAGGCACAAAUCAUGGCUGAGGCCUCUGAAGAAUCUCAGGAAGACACAGAUUCCAUGGUCUCGAGUGGCACGGGGGGAUAUACAGAGAGACUGAGAGUCAGAUGAUGACUUUUUCCCUUCUACAAAAGGGGACAUUAAGAAGCUGCUGCUGGAGCUGAGGCAGGCAUGGAAAACAGAUCUGCAGGAGACACAGGCUGACAUAGGAGCAAUGAAUGCAAAGUUCAAUGCAGUUUAAACAAGGGGAAAAAAACAGAGACAACCAGAUGCAGGAGACUAAGUGUCAGGUGGAAGAGUUUAGCCACCAGGUUUAAAAGCAGUAGCUGUACUGGAGUCCAGACACAGAAGGCGCAACAUCCAUCUAAGAGGUAUCCCCGGAAGAGUGGGAAGCGAGGAGCUACUGCCCUUCAACAGGAGACGGAUUGCCUCACUGGGCCUUAAGGGGGUGAGAGACACCUCACUGGUUAUGUCAGUAUUCAGAGUAAGAAAGCGGCUGCAGCCUCGUCAGGGGCCUCC